RNAcentral lists this ribosomal RNA (253 nucleotides) under uncultured bacterium. RNAcentral's name for it is "partial 16S ribosomal RNA". It matches the Rfam family "Bacterial small subunit ribosomal RNA", at positions 524 to 776 of the family's 1533-position model. The record is from RNAcentral.
UACGUAGGGUGCAAGCGUUGUCCGGCAUUAUUGGGCGUAAAGAGCUCGUAGGCGGUUUGUUGCGUCGGCUGUGAAAUCCCGAGGCUCAACCUCGGGUCUGCAGUCGAUACGAGCAGACUAGAGUUCGGCAGGGGAGACUGGAAUUCCUGGUGUAGCGGUGAAAUGCGCAGAUAUCAGGAGGAACACCGGCGGCGAAGGCGGGUCUCUGGGCCGAUACUGACGCUGAGGAGCGAAAGCGUGGGGAGCGAACAGG